AGGGCGCACGGUGGAUGCCUUGGCACUAGAAGCCGAUGAAGGACGUUACUAACGACGAUAUGCUUUGGGGAGCUGUAAGUAAGCUUUGAUCCAGAGAUUUCCGAAUGGGGAAACCCAGCAUGAGUUAUGUCAUGUUAUCGAUAUGUGAAUACAUAGCAUAUCAGAAGGCACACCCGGAGAACUGAAACAUCUUAGUACCCGGAGGAAGAGAAAGAAAAUUCGAUUCCCUUAGUAGCGGCGAGCGAAACGGGAAGAGCCCAAACCAACAAGCUUGCUUGUUGGGGUUGUAGGACACUCUAUACGGAGUUACAAAGGACGACAUUAGACGAAUCAUCUGGAAAGAUGAAUCAAAGAAGGUAAUAAUCCUGUAGUCGAAAAUGUUGUCUCUCUUGAGUGGAUCCUGAGUACGACGGAGCACGUGAAAUUCCGUCGGAAUCUGGGAGGACCAUCUCCUAAGGCUAAAUACUCUCUAGUGACCGAUAGUGAACCAGUACCGUGAGGGAAAGGUGAAAAGCACCCCGGAAGGGGAGUGAAAUAGAACCUGAAACCGUGUGCUUACAAGUAGUCAGAGCCCGUUAAUGGGUGAUGGCGUGCCUUUUGUAGAAUGAACCGGCGAGUUACGAUUUGAUGCAAGGUUAAGCAGUAAAUGUGGAGCCGUAGCGAAAGCGAGUCUGAAUAGGGCGUUUAGUAUUUGGUCGUAGACCCGAAACCAGGUGAUCUACCCUUGGUCAGGUUGAAGUUCAGGUAACACUGAAUGGAGGACCGAACCGACUUACGUUGAAAAGUGAGCGGAUGAACUGAGGGUAGCGGAGAAAUUCCAAUCGAACCUGGAGAUAGCUGGUUCUCUCCGAAAUAGCUUUAGGGCUAGCCUCAAGUGAUGAUUAUUGGAGGUAGAGCACUGUUUGGACGAGGGGCCCCUCUCGGGUUACCGAAUUCAGACAAACUCCGAAUGCCAAUUAAUUUAACUUGGGAGUCAGAACAUGGGUGAUAAGGUCCGUGUUCGAAAGGGAAACAGCCCAGACCACCAGCUAAGGUCCCAAAAUAUAUGUUAAGUGGAAAAGGAUGUGGCGUUGCCCAGACAACUAGGAUGUUGGCUUAGAAGCAGCCAUCAUUUAAAGAGUGCGUAAUAGCUCACUAGUCGAGUGACACUGCGCCGAAAAUGUACCGGGGCUAAACAUAUUACCGAAGCUGUGGAUUGUCCUUUGGACAAUGGUAGGAGAGCGUUCUAAGGGCGUUGAAGCAUGAUCGCAAGGACAUGUGGAGCGCUUAGAAGUGAGAAUGCCGGUGUGAGUAGCGAAAGACGGGUGAGAAUCCCGUCCACCGAUUGACUAAGGUUUCCAGAGGAAGGCUCGUCCGCUCUGGGUUAGUCGGGUCCUAAGCUGAGGCCGACAGGCGUAGGCGAUGGAUAACAGGUUGAUAUUCCUGUACCACCUAUAAUCGUUUUAAUCGAUGGGGGGACGCAGUAGGAUAGGCGAAGCGUGCGAUUGGAUUGCACGUCUAAGCAGUAAGGCUGAGUAUUAGGCAAAUCCGGUACUCGUUAAGGCUGAGCUGUGAUGGGGAGAAGACAUUGUGUCUUCGAGUCGUUGAUUUCACACUGCCGAGAAAAGCCUCUAGAUAGAAAAUAGGUGCCCGUACCGCAAACCGACACAGGUAGUCAAGAUGAGAAUUCUAAGGUGAGCGAGCGAACUCUCGUUAAGGAACUCGGCAAAAUGACCCCGUAACUUCGGGAGAAGGGGUGCUCUUUAGGGUUAACGCCCAGAAGAGCCGCAGUGAAUAGGCCCAAGCGACUGUUUAUCAAAAACACAGGUCUCUGCUAAACCGUAAGGUGAUGUAUAGGGGCUGACGCCUGCCCGGUGCUGGAAGGUUAAGAGGAGUGGUUAGCUUCUGCGAAGCUACGAAUCGAAGCCCCAGUAAACGGCGGCCGUAACUAUAACGGUCCUAAGGUAGCGAAAUUCCUUGUCGGGUAAGUUCCGACCCGCACGAAAGGCGUAACGAUUUGGGCACUGUCUCAACGAGAGACUCGGUGAAAUCAUAGUACCUGUGAAGAUGCAGGUUACCCGCGACAGGACGGAAAGACCCCGUGGAGCUUUACUGUAGCCUGAUAUUGAAAUUCGGCACAGCUUGUACAGGAUAGGUAGGAGCCUUUGAAACGUGAGCGCUAGCUUACGUGGAGGCGCUGGUGGGAUACUACCCUAGCUGUGUUGGCUUUCUAACCCGCACCACUUAUCGUGGUGGGAGACAGUGUCAGGCGGGCAGUUUGACUGGGGCGGUCGCCUCCUAAAAGGUAACGGAGGCGCUCAAAGGUUCCCUCAGAAUGGUUGGAAAUCAUUCAUAGAGUGUAAAGGCAUAAGGGAGCUUGACUGCGAGACCUACAAGUCGAGCAGGGUCGAAAGACGGACUUAGUGAUCCGGUGGUUCCGCAUGGAAGGGCCAUCGCUCAACGGAUAAAAGCUACCCCGGGGAUAACAGGCUUAUCUCCCCCAAGAGUUCACAUCGACGGGGAGGUUUGGCACCUCGAUGUCGGCUCAUCGCAUCCUGGGGCUGUAGUCGGUCCCAAGGGUUGGGCUGUUCGCCCAUUAAAGCGGUACGCGAGCUGGGUUCAGAACGUCGUGAGACAGUUCGGUCCCUAUCCGUCGUGGGCGUAGGAAAUUUGAGAGGAGCUGUCCUUAGUACGAGAGGACCGGGAUGGACAUACCUCUGGUGUACCAGUUGUCGUGCCAACGGCAUAGCUGGGUAGCUAUGUGUGGACGGGAUAAGUGCUGAAAGCAUCUAAGCAUGAAGCCCCCCUCAAGAUGAGAUUUCCCAACUUCGGUUAUAAGAUCCCUCAAAGAUGAUGAGGUUAAUAGGUUCGAGGUGGAAGCAUGGUGACAUGUGGAGCUGACGAAUACUAAUCGAUCGAAGACUUAAUC
Molecule: ribosomal RNA, 2908 nt
Filed under: Staphylococcus aureus
Lineage: Bacteria; Bacillati; Bacillota; Bacilli; Caryophanales; Staphylococcaceae
Description: bacterial LSU rRNA
Rfam family: Bacterial large subunit ribosomal RNA
Source: RNAcentral